ACUCCUGCGGGAGGCAGCAGUGGGGAAUAUUGCACAAUGGGCGCAAGCCUGAUGCAGCCAUGCCGCGUGUAUGAAGAAGGCCUUCGGGUUGUAAAGUACUUUCAGCGGGGAGGAAGGCGAUAAGGUUAAUAACCUUGUUGAUUGACGUUACCCGCAGAAGAAGCACCGGCUAACUCCGUGCCAGCAGCCGCGGUAAUACGGAGGGUGCAAGCGUUAAUCGGAAUUACUGGGCGUAAAGCGCACGCAGGCGGUCUGUCAAGUCGGAUGUGAAAUCCCCGGGCUCAACCUGGGAACUGCAUUCGAAACUGGCAGGCUAGAGUCUUGUAGAGGGGGGUAGAAUUCCAGGUGUAGCGGUGAAAUGCGUAGAGAUCUGGAGGAAUACCGGUGGCGGAGGCGGCCCCCUGGACAAAGACUGACGCUCAGGUGCGAAAGCGUGGGGAGCAAACAGGAUUAGAUACCCGAGUAGUCCC
RNAcentral lists this ribosomal RNA (470 nucleotides) under uncultured organism. RNAcentral describes it as "partial 16S ribosomal RNA". It matches the Rfam family "Bacterial small subunit ribosomal RNA", at positions 335 to 797 of the family's 1533-position model. The record is from RNAcentral.